AUGCAACAGCUGCAUAGCAUUCUGAAAUAUAGAGCAACCAGUAACAUCUCUAGAGUAAUCUCUACUAUAGUAGAGAACAAGUCCAUUUUUAUUAUCUUAACAAGUAACAAGCUUAUCUUCUCAUCAAAAUUGUGCAAAGUCUGUACAAAUAUUAACAGGAAUAUGUUACAACAAUCAUAUACAGCAGCCGCAUGGCCACAUACAACAGCCGAAUAUGUUCUGAAACAUAGAGCAACUAGUAACAUCUCUAGAGUAAUCUCUACUUUAGUAGAGAACAUGUCCAUUUUUAUCAUACUGAUAGUAGCAAGUUUAUCUUACUUCUCAUCCAAAUAG
RNAcentral lists this ribosomal RNA (333 nucleotides) under Triticum aestivum (bread wheat). Its description in RNAcentral is "partial small subunit ribosomal RNA". The record is from RNAcentral. Lineage: Eukaryota; Viridiplantae; Streptophyta; Magnoliopsida; Poales; Poaceae.